Molecule: non-coding RNA, 165 nt
Filed under: Anaerolineaceae bacterium
Lineage: Bacteria; Bacillati; Chloroflexota; Anaerolineae; Anaerolineales; Anaerolineaceae
Source: RNAcentral
GAAUAUCGCUAUGGUAGGGGCGCCCCAAAACUCGGAGGCCAGGGGCGCAAAGGGGAAAGCCGGUCCAAGUCCGGCGCUGUCCCGCAACUGUAGGAACACAGAUCGCAGGUUUUUGUGGAUCGUCCGUGUUCAAGCCAGGAUACCCGCCUCUACCAAUGUACACAA